ACUGAAACAUGGCUGAGGAUCCUCAGAGAAAUUUCCGAUCGGUGUAUUAUGAAAAAGUAGGAUUUCGUGGUGUUGAAGAAAAGAAAUCACUGGAAAUUCUUCUGAAAGAUGAUCGGCUUGAUAUUGAGAAGCUCUGCACAUUCAGUCAGAGGUUUCCUCUCCCAUCCAUGUAUCGGAUCCUUGUGUGGAAGGUGCUUCUAGGAAUUCUUCCUCCUCACCAUGAAUCUCACGGGUUUGUGAUGCGAUGUCGAAAGGAGCAGUAUAAGGACGUGCACCAUGCGCUCCGAGUAAUUCGCUUUAUCAAGGAUUCUACCCCACAGGUUGAAGUUUUCCUCCGAAUAUACCAGCUGGAGUCGGGAAAGCUUCCUCGGAAUCCAUCUCUCUCUUCGGAAGCAGAGGACGAGGUAUUCCUUGCCAUUGCUAAAGCUAUGGAAGAAAUGGUAGAAGAUCACAUUGAUUGUUAUUGGCUCAUCAGUAGCUUUGUGAACCAGUUGAACAAUAAGUACAAGGAUUCAAUACCACAGCUGCCAAAACUUUUGGAACAGUACCUGAGCCUUGAAGACAGCGGACUCUUAACGCAUCUGAAGUUGUGUUCAGCAAUGGACCAUCUUCCUUACAAUCUUUGGUUUAGAAAGUGUUUUGCGGGUUGUCUACCUGAAUCCAGCUUACAAAGGGUUUGGGACAAAGUUAUUAGCGGCUCCUGCAAAAUUCUGGUCUUCGUUGCUGUUGAGAUUUUAUUAACCUUUAAAAUGAAGUUGAUGGCCUUGAAUAGCGCAGGAAAGAUUCAACAGUUUUUGGAAAAUAUACCUCAAGAUAACACGGAUGCAAUAGUGAGCAAAGCGAUUGAGCUGUGGCAAAAACAUUGUGGGACCCCUGCCCACUCAGUCUGAGACCAUGCUGCCCGCCGAUCCACCCAGCAUGUGAAACCAUCAUCAGCCAACCUGGGAGAUCCCUCCAAUCCUGUGAGACUCGAGUUGCUGUUUAGUGGCCUGGAAACCUAAACAGGAAGGAAGGCAGCAUAUUCGAGGUAAAUAAAUUAGAUGUCACUUCCGUGCAGCUUAGCAUUUGAUUGCAGCCCUGCAUCAUAAAUAACUGUAGAAUCAAUAAUAGCAGGCAAUAAAAAAAGACCAUGUUUUUUCUUUUAAAAUGAUUUUUUUUAAAGAAACUGCAUACAUCAGAGACAAUUUAAAUACCAUGCAGUUUCAAUAUGUACAAAAACCCUAGGAUGUAGAGAUUCAGUUUUAGUGUUUCCUCUAGGUAUUUACAUUUUGUUCUGGUUUUUACUUUCCCCCCCAUACAGCCAUAAUCUGUUAAAUUACAAUACUGGAAGAUCACAGGUUUGACUGUCACCACAUUCACUCCUAUACAAAGACAAAACUAUGUACAUACACUUGACUUGGAGAGUAACUGGAAAAUGCACUGGUUCCAGAACCACUGAAAUGCUCAGGCAUACCCCCUUCCCUUGCUUUUCUGUUCACACAAGAAUAAAGUUCGGCUGGAUGAACAGGCGGGCGGAGGGAACAAUUUUCAACCCUGUUUGCCAUAUGCAGAAACAUCAUCUGUGCCCUUUUUCAAAUCACUACCCUUUGACAGAUUCUGAGGGAGGGAGGAAAUGGUUUUUGUCCAUGCAGCAAGAGAAAUUGCAGCUCUGUGCGAGAUAACCUUCAUCUGCAUGUGAAUCAUAGAGGCAUAUUUAAGUGAAUGCAAAAGUUCACUGCUCAUGCUAGGGGAAAUAAAUGAGACAUCUAUGCAACCCCUGCUGAAAUGAAUGGAAGCAGGAUGACAGUAAAGCCCAUCUCCAUAGAUUUCAGAGGGAAAGGGUUGCAUUAGGCAUUUGUAGUGGAGUGCACACUUCCCGUCACCUGUGAUCACUGUGCUAGGGGAACAGCUGAAUGGCUCUGCUCCAGACAAGACAAGCAUUAAGCAGACUUGAAAAGUAAGCCAUUUUUCAAAUGAAAGUUUCACUAGAUCCAUUUCUAUGUUACAGGGGGAAAUAAAUAUCCAUUUGUUUACUGCUACUUUUUGGAAGUGAAUACAGUGCGUUGCCUUGA
Podarcis raffonei (Aeolian wall lizard) is the source of this 2051-nucleotide RNA transcript. It is a transcript of the gene named TBC1 domain family member 7, with no coding region annotated. The record is from RefSeq and is a predicted model, not a curated record. The transcript has 9 exons. Lineage: Eukaryota; Metazoa; Chordata; Lepidosauria; Squamata; Lacertidae.